Long non-coding RNA from Argentina anserina (silverweed cinquefoil), 429 nucleotides. RefSeq lists it as uncharacterized. Lineage: Eukaryota; Viridiplantae; Streptophyta; Magnoliopsida; Rosales; Rosaceae. The record is from RefSeq and is a predicted model, not a curated record. The transcript has 2 exons.
GCUCUGCCUUCCUCAGCUGAGCGGCUUUCUCUUCAGGCCAUUCAGCGGUAAUUGAUUCCUCAAUGCUGUCAAUGCCCCAGUAAAGAUUUGAUAUGACUGACUGGUCAGAGAACUCGAAGAAAUCCUGUUUCUGAUUUUGAAGCUUGGAGGUACUUGCAGGACUUGAUAAUUGUGCAAGCAAGGACUGCAGAUAGCAUAUUGACCUUCAGAGCAUACCACGUUAUAGGAGUUGGACCAAUCUGAUUAGCGAACUAGGGCAGUUUUAUUAUACUUGCCAUUCUGAUGUGCCCUCAUAUUAUUUGACCACCUAGAUGAAGGGUAAAUUUCAUCGUGAAGAUUACAAUGCAGGGUAAAUUGGUUUAUUUGCAGAAAGAACCUAAACCUGUGUGUACUGGAUAAUUAUAUGGAACUGAGGGCAACUAUGUUGGA